Cimex lectularius (bed bug) is the source of this 284-nucleotide long non-coding RNA. RefSeq lists it as uncharacterized. NCBI's taxonomy places the organism in Eukaryota, Metazoa, Arthropoda, Insecta, Hemiptera, Cimicidae. The transcript is spliced from 3 exons. The record is from RefSeq and is a predicted model, not a curated record.
CUCACGAAGCCUUCUGAUGACUGUUUAAUAGCUCAUUAUGGACCGUUUGGAGUUGACUACCUACCAAGGAAAGCCAUCAAAUGAGUGUGCGCCGCAUGUCCAUUGCAGACAGCAGUUAUCUUCUCCAGGUGUAUGAGUUAAAAUAGCAUCAUUCGGAGAGCAUGGAAGAUCGGACGGUGGCGAGUUCGGUACAGGUGCAGGAACCGUUAUUCGUACAUAUUACAGUUUCUGGACAACAGUGAGGAGGAUUUGGUACAAAAUCAUGCGGCUUUGUUUCCCAUGAU